CAAUUAUACAGCGAAACUGCGAAUGGCUCAUUAUAUAAGUUAUCGUUUAUUUGAUAGUACCUUACUACUUGGAUAACCGUGGUAAUUCUAGAGCUAAUACAUGCUGAAAAUCCCGACUUCGGAAGGGAUGUAUUUAUUAGAUUCAAAACCAAUGCCCUCUGGGCUCACUGGUGAUUCAUGAUAACUCUUCGAAUCGCAUGGCCUUGCGCCGGCGAUGGUUCAUUCAAAUUUCUUCCCUAUCAACUUUCGAUGUUUGGGUAGUGGCCAAACAUGGUUGCAACGGGUAACGGAGGGUUAGGGCUCGACCCCGGAGAAGGAGCCUGAGAAACGGCUACUACAUCCAAGGAAGGCAGCAGGCGCGCAAAUUACCCAAUCCCGACACGGGGAGGUAGUGACAAUAAAUACUGAUACAGGGCUCUUUUGGGUCUUGUAAUUGGAAUGAGUACAAUUUAAAUCCCUUAACGAGGAACAAUUGGAGGGCAAGUCUGGUGAACGUUGCUGGUGCCAGAGAGAGCCGCACCUCCCUAAAGAAGCGGCUAGUCGAGCGCCCGUGCUGUGACGGGUGGGCGCCGGCGAGACAACCUGGAUCGGGGAAGGCUAAGGGCCCAGAGGGCCUACGCUGAUCCCGAGCGGAGCCGCCCCAGGCGGCCCGUGUAGAGCGCGCAAAGGUGUCGGUCCCGGGAGCGAUCCCGGGGCUUAAGGUACGUGCCAAUCCCCCGCGAAAGCGGGGCCCCAGACUGAGCACCCGUCGUGCGAGGUCUCGGGGGGCCACAGGGGCCUAUAGCCCCCGUGAGCCGCCGAAACAGUGGCCAGCAGCCGCGGUAAUUCCAGCUCCAAUAGCGUAUAUUAAAGUUGUUGUGGUUAAAAAGCUCGUAGUUGAACCUUGGGCCUGGCUGGCCGGUCCGCCUCACCGCGUGUACUGGUCCGGCCGGGCCUUUCCCUCUGUGGAACCCCAUGCCCUUCACUGGGUGUGGCGGGGAAACAGGACUUUUACUUUGAAAAAAUUAGAGUGCUCCAGGCAGGCCUAUGCUCGAAUACAUUAGCAUGGAAUAAUGAAAUAGGACGCGCGGUUCUAUUUUGUUGGUUUCUAGGACCGCCGUAAUGAUUAAUAGGGACAGUCGGGGGCAUCAGUAUUCAAUUGUCAGAGGUGAAAUUCUUGGAUUUAUUGAAGACUAACUACUGCGAAAGCAUUUGCCAAGGAUGUUUUCAUUAAUCAGGAACGAAAGUUAGGGGAUCGAAGACGAUCAGAUACCGUCGUAGUCUUAACCAUAAACUAUGCCGACUAGGGAUCGGACGAUGUUAUUUUUUGACUCGUUCGGCACCUUACGAGAAAUCAAAGUGCUUGGGCUCCAGGGGGAG
This 1359-nucleotide ribosomal RNA is filed under the name Hirsutella thompsonii. Its description in RNAcentral is "bacterial SSU rRNA". It matches the Rfam family "Eukaryotic small subunit ribosomal RNA", at positions 71 to 1123 of the family's 1831-position model. Lineage: Eukaryota; Fungi; Ascomycota; Sordariomycetes; Hypocreales; Ophiocordycipitaceae. The record is from RNAcentral.